RNAcentral lists this long non-coding RNA (7899 nucleotides) under Medicago truncatula (barrel medic). Its description in RNAcentral is "long non-coding RNA (MTRU_LNC008198)". Lineage: Eukaryota; Viridiplantae; Streptophyta; Magnoliopsida; Fabales; Fabaceae. The record is from RNAcentral.
GUUCCCUUACUUAACGGAACCAUGUUCUUUUACCAGACACAAUACUUGAAAAUCGACUCGUCAGUAUUAGGUAUCUCCAAGGUUUUUGGUCAGGCAACAAUGCUUCUAUGGGGCGUUAUAUAUAAUCGAUACCUGAAAUCUAUAUCACCUAGGAAACUGAUAUCAGCGAUUCAAGUAACAAUUGCAUUCUUAAUGAUUUCAGAUGUCUUAUUUGUGCGCGGUUUCUAUAGACAAAUGGGCGUGCCGGAUACACUCUAUGUUGUGAUUUUCUCAGGAUUCUUGGAGGUUCUAUUUUUCUUUAAGUUUCUUCCUUUCACUGUGUUAUUAGCACAGCUAUGUCCACAAGGUUGUGAAGGGUCAAUAAUGGCAUUUCUUAUGUCUGCUGUUGCAUUGGCAUUCAUUGUGAGUGGAUACCUUGGUGUUGCACUUGCAUCUUAUAUUAAGAUAACAGGAAGUGAUUUUUCAGGAUUAUCACUUGGACUUGUGAUACAAGCUUCAUGUACUUUGUUGCCAAUAUUUUGGUCAUCAUGCAUACCUGAAUAUGUAAAAACAAAAGACAAGCGUAAAGACUAAUUAAUGUAAUAGCUUUUAGAAAUGUGAUAAACAUAGUGAUUUAAGGUGUUGAGCAAAUUUUGUGUUCCAUUUUUCAGUAGCGUGGUUUAUGUUCGUGCAAGAUUUUAUCCGGUAGGAUUGUAAUUUUCCAAUUUCAUGUUCCGUAAAGGAAAAAAUGUUUAGUGAAUGUUUUACAGAAAAGCAAAGCCAAACAAGUGGUUGGAGAAGGCACACAUACCUUUUUUCCCAGUGGAAUUUCUGAAAUAUGUAAUGCUGCUUCAAGGCAGAAGGUAUGAAAUCAUAUUGAAAAAGUGAACAAUCUCACACAGUUAAAAAAUGAGCCAACUUUUAUAUACUACUAUUCUUUAUGGUCUCUGCCACGUUUUUCCUCAACUUUGUUGCAGUUCAAUUAUGAUAUUUCUAAAUAUCAUUUUAAGAAUGCUUAUGUAACUUAUAAUGUGAGGUUGAUUAUAAAGAUUUUCUACGUUGGAAAAUUGAUCUUAUACAAGUAAUUGUCUGAAAAUAAUAUCAAUUAUUGGAUCAUAAGAUGGUGGACAUAUAUCAAUUCUUUGAAAUACUAGAGACCACAAUACAAUUCGAUCAAUGAACAUUGCAAUUUGGAAGUAAAUAGUACUGAUAUGUUACUACAUGUGCAAAUGAGGUGUGAAAGUUGAGAGCUCUUAGUCCCACAUUGCUUGCAAAGAAACAAAACACAUGUGAAGUUGUUAUAUAUAAGAUGGCAAGUGUAUUACAAACAAUUGCAGUUUCAUAGAGGUGCCUAUUGGCUAUUGUGGUAACAUUGGCACGGAUCAGUGGUGUUGGUUUAAAAAGUAAAAAAUUUCUUUAAACCUUGAUCAUUUUCUUUUUGUUUUCAAAUUAGCUUGUUAGCACUCUCUCUCAAUAUAAUUAUUAUGUAAUAGAUUAUGUAUAAUAAUGUAAUAUAACUUGCCAAAAAAUCAAUUAUUCGUGUAGUCCAUCAUUACUACUUAUGUCUUCAUCUUGUUCUUGGUUGGUUAUUCUGGAUUCACCAGCUUCAUUAGAUUUUCUUCUUAGAGACGGAAUCUAUGAUCAAGACAUGGUUGGUGAUGCUUAUUCUUUUCAUGUCCGCAAACUAUUUACAACACAGUGUCUAUGAGAAAUAUCAAGUACCUAGUCUGUUUAUCUUUGGGGACUCUUUAUAUGAUAGUGAAAACAACAAUAACCUUCCUACCUUUGCUUAAUUUGAUUACAAACCUUAUGGAAUCGAUUCCUUCCUCGCUCGGCGCAACCAGAAGAUUUACCAACGGUCGAACUGCAAUUAACAUAAUAAGUAACGUUCUUUCGGUUUAUCUAUAUUAUUGUGAACUAUUGUUGUUAUCUCUUUGUGUUUCAACUCAAACUAAAGUCAUUUCUUUGACUAUAGCUUGCCUUCUUGGAUUUUAGAUAUUCAUUCCAUCAUUUGCAAACACUAAUGGUUUAGAUAUUCUCAAAGGUGUGAAUUAUGCAUAUGAGGGAGCAGGAAUUCGUAUCGAGACAAGCAUGACUAAAGUUUAAAUAAAUUGUAGUUUUUUAUGGUUGGUACUUAUCUUCAAUGGGUUUGUCAUAGUCACCAAACAUUAGUACACUAUCACAUCGACACUGAUAAUAAUUUGAAAAUUGACAUAAUUAAACCAAUGUAACCACACAAUUCUUAAAAUAAAAAAUGUAACCAUAGUGCCACACAAGUCACGGUCAUGUCUGUAUCAAAUACUAACACGUGUCGAAUACCAUACACAUGGAUCAUAAAUACCGGUGCUACAAAAUGUAUGUUACAUUGCUCAUACAUGUCACCAAAUUAGCAUAUGUCCAUACAAACUUGGUAUUACAGUUGACAAAUCACCGACUUAUAGUUUCUGAAAUUGCUACUAGACUUGGAAGUCUUGAAAAAACUCAGCAAUACCUUAACAAAUGUUUGUGUUAUGUAAUAGGAUGUAAUGUUACAUAAACAAUUAAUGAAAUAUUAUUCUGUUGGGAAUAUAUAUCCUCUAAUGUUAAAAACAGAAAUGUAUUCGUUAAAUGUGGAUAACUUUAUCUUUUUCUUUAUAUUAUAUUAUCAUUUAAUUUUACAAGGGCAUCCAUAAUGGUAACUGUUUCAUCUGAGUGCUGCUAUAUUGCAUGAGGGCCACAACAAAUCAAAUCGUACGACUUGUUAAACUAUGGGAAAAGAAACAACUUUCAGAACUAUUGGUCGCACUAAGAAAACAUAAAUUCGCUGGUCAAUCUCAUGGUUUGCAUUAUCUUAUGCUGUUAUUCCCUUACUUAACAGAACCAUGUUCUUUUACCAGACAUAAUACUUGAAAAUUGACUCCUCGGGUAUUAGGCAUCUCCAAGGUUUUUUGUCGGGCAACAAUGCUUCUAUGGGGUGUUAUAUUUAACUGAUGCUGAAAAUUUGUCUCACUGAGCAAACUGAUAUCAGCUACUCAAGCGUAAAGACUAAUCAAUGCCAAUAUUUUGGUCAUCAUGCAUACCUGAAUUUGUAAAAACAAAAGACAAGUGUAAAGACAAAUUAUUAAUGUAAUAGCUUUUAGAAAUGUGAUGGUGGUUUAAGGGGUUGAACAAAUUUUGUGUUCCAUACUUCCAUUUUUCAGUGGCAUGGUUUAUGUUGGUGCGAGAUUUUUCAUAUAUAGGAUUGUAAUUUUCUAAUGUCAUGUUUAGCCAAUGUUUUUGUGAAAAAAAGAUGUUUAGUGAAUGUUUUACAGAAAAUCAAAACUGCUUUUAUGAUCAAGUGGUUAGAGAAGGCACACAUACCUUAUUUUUCAGUAGAAUCUCUGAAAUAUGUAAUGCUGCUUGAAGGCAGAAGGUAUGAAAUCAUAUUGAAAAAGUAAACAAUCUCACACAGUUAAAAAUUGAGUCAACUUUUAUAUGGUACUAUUCUUUAUAUCUCCGCCACUUUUUUCCUCAACCUUGUUUCAGUUUAAUUAUGAGAUUUCUAAAUAUCAAUUUAAGAAUGCUUAUGUAACAUAUAAUGUGAGGUUGAUUAUAAAGAAUUUGCUAAGUUGAAAAAGUGAUCUUAUGCAAGUAGUUGUCUGAAAAUAAUCUCAAUUAUACGUCAAUUCUUUGAAAUACCAGAGGCUUAAGAACAUUGCAAUUUGGAAGUAAGUAGGACUGAUAUCUUACUAGAAGUGCCAAGUGAGGUGUGAAAGUAGAGAGUAUAAAUAUGGCUUUUAGUCCCAUAUUGCUUGCAAAGAAACAUAAUACGUGAAGUUUUUCUAUAUAAAGAUGACAAGUGAAUGACUAACAAAUGCAAUUUGGCUGAGAUGUCUAUUGGUUAUUCCUGUCCCAAUGACACUGUUCUAGUGCCACACCCCCGAAACUGCCAACUUUUCCAACUUGUCGUUUGAUCGGUAGUGUAGUUCUGGGGGUGCUAUCUGGAAUAGUAGCAUUGACAGGUUAAAAAGUUCAAUUUUUUUUUUAGAAAUCACAACUUUGAUCCCUUUUUUUCUCUUCAUUUUCUUCGUUGAUUCAGCUCAAACUAAUGUCGUUUCAUUGAGCUGCUACUCUACUUCUUGGAUUUGAGAAUUUAAUUUCAUCAUUUGCAAACCCUAAUGGUUUAGACAUACUUAAAGGUCCGAACUAUGCCAACUAUAAUCGUAGUUUUUGAUUGUUCAUCUUUAACUUCAAUUGGUUUUUGAUAGGUGUCUAGAGGAUUAUGUAGUACUCACGCAAUUAUCAAACACGACACUGACACGUCAACAGCAGUAAUAAUUUGAAGAAAAAAAAAACUUACAUUUAAAUGUAAUCACACGACUCUAUAUUGUGUCGGCAUCAAUAUUGACAUGUGUCAGAUACCUGAGACAUAGAUCUAAAGUGUCGAUGCUACAAAAUGUAUGCUACAUUGCUCAUACAUGUCACCAAAUUAACAUUAUUUAUGUCCAUACAUGAUUUUGUAUAGAAAGUUGAAUCGAAAGUUUUCGAUAAGUAAUCAGCUUCUUCGUGUGGUCACAAAUCAAGCUAAGUUCACCGUUUUUCUUCCAAAACUACUCACAGUUUCACCCUAUGUGACACAUCAUUGAGGUUUCUUGGAAACCUCCACCAUUCAACUACUAUAAAUGUUGAUGGUCUCAUGAAAGACACCAGAGAUUCUAUUUGUGGAUGAAUAACUAGAGAUCCUCGUGGUAGAUUCAUUCACGAUUUCUAAAAUAGACUCAAAACUUGAUCUGCUGUGUCGGCAGAACUCUGUGCUCUUCGCAUUGGAGUUGAUGAUAUAGCAAACCAGUUAAUUAUAUCAAUAAUGUCACAAUUGCAGCCACUAAAAGCAUGCAUGAAAUCAUAGACUAAUACAGUUAAUUGACAGCGGAAUCCACGGUGGUGGAAGUAGAAAAAAUAUCUCGGGUGGGCCAGCAAAAUAUACUCGGAUAUAUAAACAUAAAUUUGUCUGUUGUAAUAAACGCCAAACACAAAGUUUCAUCAAAAUAGUAAACUACAUACCUUAGAAAAUUAAAAUAAUUCGUUAUGCGAUCCAACUAACUUGAAAUCAUCAAUGACCAACUCAUAACUAAUACUUGCACUAAUUUCCCUUUCAAUAUAAACCGUCAUGCUAUCAUUUAGAAACCCACUUCCCAUUUUGUUUCUCAACCUAGUCUUGAUAAUCUUCAUUGCUGAAAAAGAUCUCUCAGUUGUGGCCGUAGAAGCUGGAAGAGUCAUGAUAAGGCGGAGUAUAAAUUAAAUAUGUGAUAUCUUACGAUUCAUUAUAAGAUUCGAUCCAUGAUUUGGAAAAUAGUUCUUCCGGUUCACGUUAUGAAUCUCGAAUCGAUAAGGAUGUUUAUUUCCCUUGUAGUGUAAUGCAAUAUGUCCUGAUACCAGGUUUCUGUGGGUGAGUAGUAGUAACACAUUACCCCUUUUUCCCUGCAUCAGUCCAAAGGCAGAACAGAAAAAAUGGGAUCUUAUGGAUUCUGGCCAGUAAUGUGAUCAAUCCAAAAGAAAGAAUAAACAAAAGAAAGAAAAACCGAAACCCUGAUUCAAAAGGAAACUUAGAUACUUGAAUAUGAAUAUAGUUAGGAACUAUUUAAAUGAAUGAAUGUCGUUGUUGCUUGAAUCUAAAAACAGAAUAAGUAUAUACUCGUUAGCUUCCUUAUGAAGGAAGUGUAAUAAAUCACAAUUAUUUCUAGGAACUGGAAAAUAGGUCAAUGGUUAUUGAAUUGGUUUCUUUUAUAUAUAAUAGAAGAAGGGAUAGAAAGAAUCAUCCUGAGGCAAACUGGUCAAUAAUGAAUACAAGAGACUAUUUAUACAUACAAGUUCAUAUGAAAACGAAGAAGAUAACAACGAUAACUAGCCUAAGUACAUUUCUCUAAUAAGAACAUUUUGAAUCAGCCAUUUCCCUCAAAGCAGUAGUUCUACUCAUGAAAAUGCAAAACUGAUUGCAACUUUUACUUGAGGCAAUGAUCAGAACCGUUUCUAAGAACACAAGCAAAUGCUACUUGAAAUUGAGAAAGUGCUGCAUUUUUUAGUUAUCUUCAUUUUGAAUUUUAUUUUCAGCAAUUGCUUAUCAGAUCAUCCCUGUCAGUUCGAUUCUGAUCCACCUUUAAUUUUCUGACAUACAAUGGUUAUUAAAACUGGAGACUUGGUUUUUACUUCAUUCAAUGCUAGACUAAAUCUGGAUAUGUUGUUGUGACUAUAUAACCUUAUGCCGCACUGCAAUCUUUACCCCUGCAUUGUUCAUUCCAUUUGGUAUAAAAGGUUGAUAUAAUUAAACCUUGUCAUGUAUUUAUUGGUCUAUGGGGUCAUAUUUUUCUUAGGUGUGAGUGUGACAUGGUGGAACUUCAUGUAAACUGUUUCUUCUGUUCUGUCCCCUUUGGGCUAUGAAUCCCAGUUUUCACUUAUUAGCAAGAAUACCUUAAAAAUUUAUCCUCAUCAAAAUGUUAGCUCGGAGGGAACUGGUUUGGUGACUGGUAAGGAUCGGUUACGUCUAGUAUAUGCAAAUUAUUAACCAGUUGCACGAUGCGUCAAAACAUGGCAUGAAUAAGUUCUCUCAGGCUGCAACUUUUCGUUUGACCUGAUUUUCUGGAGCCUCCCCCUCCUUUUUUUGGUAGAAAUAUUGUCCCUAGUUUCUUGGUUGCUAAAGUUGGAGUUGAUACUGAUGCCUUUUCAGUUAUGUUCUCGUCCAUAAGAGCAGCUUUGUUGGCAUUUUUCCAAUUUCAUGCAAGCUGCCUUAUUAAGGGAAAGUUAUCAAAUUUCGCCAAUGCUUUAAGGAUAAUCAUAUCUAUCAUGAACUUUAAAACUGUUCUAUUGUUUAUCAUUUUAUUGCAUGUCUAAUUUGUACUUCUAUUGUUUAUAACUAUAUUGCUAAAUAUUUCCUUAAAUUUGUUUAUGCAGCUUUCUUGCAGGCACUGUCAUGGCUAGCAAUAGCAAUCUCUCCGUCAAGCAUAUCUGUUUUCACUAUCUCUAUAUAUCUUCUUCUUAGUAUUCUAGGAGCUUCAAUAACUGAGGUAAAAAAUGAUGCCAUCGUUGCCGAGUUGGGUAAACAGCCUCCGUCUUCAACCAAGCACUCUCAACAACCAUCUUCCUCAGGCAAUCUUCAAUCCUUUGUUUGGAUAGCUUCCUCUGUAGGAGGAGUCGCCGGCAACCUUCUUGGUGGCAUUUUCAUCAGCCGCUUCUCUCCACAAUCCAUGUUUAUGUUUUUUGGCCUUCUUGUUGCUCUCCAAUUCUUCAUAACCGUUUCGGUUCACGAAAGCUCUCUCGGACUUUCAAAGAAUCCAUCAAUUGGGAUAAAGAAACAGCUUUCAGAACUAUCUGCCGCACUAAGAAAACCUGAAAUCACGUAUUCAAUCUCAUGGUUUGCAUUAUCUUAUGCAGUUGUUCCCUUACUUAACGGAACCAUGUUCAUUUACCAGACACAAUACUUGAAAAUCGACUCGUCAGUGUUAGGUAUCUCCAAGGUUUUUGGUCAGGAAACAAUGCUUCUAUGGGGUAUUAUAUAUAAUCGAUACCUGAAAUCUAUAUCACCUAGGAAACUGAUAUCAGCGAUUCAAGCAACAAUUGCAUUCUUAAUGAUUUCAGAUGUCUUAUUUGUGCGCGGUUUCUAUAGACAAAUGGGCGUGCUGGACACACUCUAUGUUGUGAUUUUCUCAGGAUUCUUGGAGGUUCUAUUUUUCUUUAAGUUUCUGCCAUUCACUGUGUUAUUAGCACAGCUAUGUCCACAAGGUUGCGAAGGGUCAAUAAUGGCAUUUCUUAUGUCUGCUGUUGCAUUGGCAUUCAUUGUGAGUGGAUACCUUGGUGUUGCACUUGCAUCUUAUAUUAAGAUAACAGGAAGUGAUUUUUCAGGAUUGUCACUUGGACUUGUGAUACAAGCUUCAUGUACUUUGUUGCCAAUAUUUUGGUCAUCAUGCAUAC